This 84-nucleotide transfer RNA is filed under the name Bacteroidales bacterium. RNAcentral describes it as "tRNA-Leu". It matches the Rfam family "tRNA". Rfam says of the family: Transfer RNA (tRNA) molecules are approximately 80 nucleotides in length. The record is from RNAcentral. Lineage: Bacteria; Pseudomonadati; Bacteroidota; Bacteroidia; Bacteroidales.
GCCCGAGUGGCGGAACUGGUAGACGCGUUGGUCUCAAAAACCAAUGGGCUUUUGCUCUUGCCGGUUCGAUUCCGGCCUCGGGUA